Acanthosepion pharaonis is the source of this 81-nucleotide non-coding RNA. The record is from the annotation of a GenBank genome assembly. Lineage: Eukaryota; Metazoa; Mollusca; Cephalopoda; Sepiida; Sepiidae.
CGUCCGAACACCGAAGUUAAGCAACGUUGAGCUUGGUCAGUUUCUAGAUGGGUGAUCGCUUGGGAAUAUCAGGUGCUGUAA